Molecule: small RNA, 125 nt
Filed under: Marmota monax (woodchuck)
Lineage: Eukaryota; Metazoa; Chordata; Mammalia; Rodentia; Sciuridae
Source: RNAcentral
GCCAGGUGUGGCGGCACAUGCCUGUGAUCCCAGAGGCUUAGGAGGCUGAGGCAGGAGGAUCACAAGUUCAAAUCCAGCCUCAGCAAAAGCAAGGCACUAAGCAACUCAGUGAGACUCUGUCUCUA